GAGGAAACUUAAUAAAUAAUUGAGAACGUUUAUGCAAGGACUCAAAAGAUGAUGAAUUAUACCUGAGUAGGAUGAAUCCAGAGGAAAUUCUGGUGGAGUUCCGCAGCGAUUUUGACGUCCAAAUCGAUUGUCCGAUUUUGAUAUAUUUCUGAAAUUUCCCUCAGAAUAGCUGGAGUACGUAAUGAAGCUGUUAUAUUCGGUUGUGGGAUGAAACGUUUUCAAUCUAUUUUCAAAUUUUCAAUGAGUAUGACAUCUUGCUUGCUUGAAUGAAGCUUAGAUGUUGAAUG
Molecule: non-coding RNA, 287 nt
Organism: Onchocerca ochengi
Lineage: Eukaryota; Metazoa; Nematoda; Chromadorea; Rhabditida; Onchocercidae
Source: Rfam